UCACAAUCUCUGAAUGUAUCAGAACGUUGAAUAUAUGUAUAUGUAUACAACUUUCAGCAAUGGAUCUCUUGGCUCUCGCAUCGAUGAAGAACGCAGCGAAAUGCGAUAAGUAAUGUGAAUUGCAGAAUUCAGUGAAUCAUCGAAUCUUUGAACGCAUCUUGCGCUCCUUGGUAUUCCGAGGAGCAUGCCUGUUUGAGUGUCAUUCA
RNAcentral lists this ribosomal RNA (206 nucleotides) under Inocybe decemgibbosa. RNAcentral describes it as "5.8S ribosomal RNA". The stretch from base 49 to 202 matches the Rfam family "5.8S ribosomal RNA". From Rfam's summary of the family: 5.8S ribosomal RNA (5.8S rRNA) is a component of the large subunit of the eukaryotic ribosome. It is transcribed by RNA polymerase I as part of the 45S precursor that also contains 18S and 28S rRNA. Functionally, it is thought that 5.8S rRNA may be involved in ribosome translocation. The record is from RNAcentral. Lineage: Eukaryota; Fungi; Basidiomycota; Agaricomycetes; Agaricales; Inocybaceae.